This 230-nucleotide ribosomal RNA is filed under the name uncultured bacterium. RNAcentral describes it as "partial 16S ribosomal RNA". It matches the Rfam family "Bacterial small subunit ribosomal RNA", at positions 524 to 754 of the family's 1533-position model. The record is from RNAcentral.
UACGUAGGGUGCGAGCGUUAAUCGGAAUUACUGGGCGUAAAGCGUGCGCAGGCGGUGAUGUAAGACAGUUGUGAAAUCCCCGGGCUCAACCUGGGAAUUGCAUCUGUGACUGCAUCGCUAGAGUACGGUAGAGGGGGAUGGAAUUCCGCGUGUAGCAGUGAAAUCGUAGAUAUGCGGAGGAACACCGAUGGCGAAGGCAAUCCCCUGGACCUGUACUGACGCUCAUGCAC